This 177-nucleotide unclassified non-coding RNA is filed under the name uncultured fungus. RNAcentral's name for it is "sequence contains ITS1". The record is from RNAcentral. Lineage: Eukaryota; Fungi.
GUGUCAUGUUUUGUGUGUGUGUCAUUCAGAUGGCUCGCUCGCGUGUGUGGAGGUAAGAAAAUGAUGGCGCCCCGCGCACGAGCAAAACACGCGCAGGGCCACCAUCAAAAAACAAUGCACAGGGGUACUUAAGGCGGACAUACAGUGAUGAUCCUUCCGCAGGUUCACCUACGGAAA